RNAcentral lists this ribosomal RNA (253 nucleotides) under uncultured bacterium. Its description in RNAcentral is "partial 16S ribosomal RNA". It matches the Rfam family "Bacterial small subunit ribosomal RNA", at positions 524 to 776 of the family's 1533-position model. RNAcentral also lists the same sequence under 1 other name. The record is from RNAcentral.
UACAGAGGUCCCGAGCGUUGUUCGGAUUCAUUGGGCGUAAAGGGUGCGUAGGCGGUUUGGUAAGCCCUCUGUGAAAUCUCCAGGCUUAACCUGGAAAAGUCGGAGGGGACUGCUGGGCUAGAGGACGGGAGAGGAGCGCGGAAUUCCCGGUGUAGCGGUGAAAUGCGUAGAGAUCGGGAGGAAGGCCGGUGGCGAAGGCGGCGCUCUGGAACGUUUCUGACGCUGAGGUGCGAAAGCUAGGGUAGCGAACGGG